GCCAGCUGGUAGAGUGGCAGAAGAAUUAUACACAAUUAUAGACCUGGCAAUUAAUAGUGACUGCAUCAACCCAAAAUGAGCCUUUCUUUUCUUCCACCCUGGAGAAAAGAAAAUGUGAUGGCAGUUACUGUCUCUGGAAUAGUCUCUGUCACUCUUUAAGAGGCUCCUCUUCUGUAAGGCCUCCGUGCACUUGGAUUCACAGCAUUAACUCUCAAUGCUGUCUCAAUGAAACACACCCAUCGGAACUUAUGAGUUGUGGUGGGAAGUCCCAGCCUAUGGCCAGAGAGAACUGGGCUACUGCAGCAGGGAGCUUGCUGAGUCCAGGCCAUUCUGAGGGAGCCCUUGCAGCAGAAUAACUACGCUGUGAAAGAUAAGACAUUCACAGGAGUCCUGCGAGAAAAAACAAACAAGAAACCCAGCCAGUGUGCCUCGCAGAAUUGCACCCUGGCACCUUCAAGCAAACACCCAGGCUGGCCUGUAUUCUAGGGCGAGGUAGCAAGAGGAUCGCCAUAAGUUCGAGGCCAGCCUGGGCUACACAGGGAGACGCUGACUCAAACAAUACAAACCCCAAAUAACUAAAUAAAUAAAUACCCAAGCUCAUUGAACGUUUGCUCACUCUACAUUUCAUUAAACGAGGACAUCAACAUCUAAAAUAUGAUCCUAACUUUGUAAAACUUAGUUACUGGUUAUUUUCCAAGAGAAACUCGAAGAGACACGCGUUAUCUUUGGACCCGCACUGCUCCACACCCAUCUCUGGCCUCUCCAACAGCCGCGAUCAGCUAAGGAGACUUGGCCAAGAAGUUCAAGUGUUGUUUUUUUUUUUAAAUUGUUAUUUUUAAGCAACUCCUCCUGCCCUCUCCCCGGGUUCCCCGAGCCGCUGCCCAGCGCCUUCUCCCAGCGCUCGCCGGGCUGGCCCCGCGGCCACGUGCGCGCCGCUGCGGCUCUCG
This 947-nucleotide long non-coding RNA is filed under the name Chinchilla lanigera (long-tailed chinchilla). RNAcentral describes it as "lncRNA (ENSCLAG00000026803.1)". The record is from RNAcentral. Lineage: Eukaryota; Metazoa; Chordata; Mammalia; Rodentia; Chinchillidae.